AGUGAACGCUGGCGGUAGGCCUAACGCAUGCAAGUCGAACGGCAGCACAGUAAGAGCUUGCUCUUACGGGUGGCGAGUGGCGGACGGGUGAGGAAUACAUCGGAAUCUACUUUUUCGUGGGAGAUAACGUAGGGAAACUUACGCUAAUACCGCAUACGACCUACGGGUGAAAGCAGGGGAUCUUCGGACCUUGCGCGAUUGAAUGAGCCGAUGUCGGAUUAGCUAGUUGGCGGGGUAAAGGCCCACCAAGGCGACGAUCCGUAGCUGGUCUGAGAGGAUGAUAAGCCACACUGGAACUGAGACACGGUCCAGACUCCUACGGGAGGCAGCAGUGGGGAAUAUUGGACAAUGGGCGCAAGCAUGAUCCAGCCAUACCGCGUGGGUGAAGAAGGCCUUCGGGUUGUAAAGCCCUUUUGUUGGGAAAGAAAAGCAGCAGGUUAAUACCACGCUGUUCUGACGGUACCCAAAGAAUAAGCACCGGCUAACUUCGUG
Molecule: ribosomal RNA, 492 nt
Filed under: uncultured bacterium
Lineage: Bacteria
Description: partial 16S ribosomal RNA
Rfam family: Bacterial small subunit ribosomal RNA
Source: RNAcentral